RNA transcript from Solanum tuberosum (potato), 2149 nucleotides. It is a transcript of the gene named cleavage stimulation factor subunit 50, with no coding region annotated. The transcript has 15 exons. The record is from RefSeq and is a predicted model, not a curated record. Lineage: Eukaryota; Viridiplantae; Streptophyta; Magnoliopsida; Solanales; Solanaceae.
UACUUGACCAAAUCACUCCAAUUUUUUAAAGAAGAAAACCUAAAUUAACUUUUUCCUAAAUCAAUUGCAAAAGCAAAUCCAAAUUGGACUGCCAAGAAGCAUUGUAGUGUACUCAAAUGGCGGCGGUAGAGUUCUGAAGCUCAUAGUACUUCAGUUUCAUCCUCUUCCAAAAUUCUGUACGAGCUUUAAGACAAGGGUUAUCAGUUUGCCAUUAUUGCUUUCUCUCUUUCAAUCCCGAACACUGCAAAGCCAAAUUUGUGAAUCAACAAAGAUUCUGAGGGUAUUGUUUCUGUUUGUUUCAUUGAAUAAAUUAGGGCAGCAAUAAGUUAAAUGGGGAGCAACCAUAACAAUGAUAACUUGGAGCACAAAUUGCAAGCCGGGAAAUUGUUCCGUCAUGUUAAUUCUCUCAUAGUCGCUCAUCUUCGCGAUAAUAAUCUCAAUCAGGCUGCAAGUGCUGUAGCUUCAGCUACAAUGACACCAAUGAGUGUUGAAGCUCCUCCCAACAAGCUACUGGAAUUGGUUGCAAAGGGUCUUGCAGUUGACAAAGAUGAAACACUGAGAGGAGUUUCUACAGCUGUACCUUUUGAUCCAAUCGUAACUGCUGGAUAUGGCUCAAUCCCAGCCCCUCGGGCUGCAUCUGUUGAUUUCAGUAGCAUGAACGAUACAAAAGGGCCGUCAAAAAAUAUCCCAAAGCAUGAGUCACGACAUAUUUCUGAGCACAAGAAUGUUGCAAGGUGUGCCAGAUUUAGCCCUGAUGGAAGAUUUCUUGCUACUGGAAGUGCAGACACAUCAAUUAAAUUGUUUGAGAUUGCAAAAGUUAAGCAAAUGAUGCAGCCAGAAGCAAGGGAUGGCCCAGUGAGGCCUGUUAUACGGACUUUUUAUGAUCAUCAACAACCUAUAAAUGACUUGGAUUUUCAUCCACAAAAUACAGUACUCAUAUCUGGAUCAAAAGAUCGCACCAUCAAGUUCUUUGAUUUUUCCAAAACAGUAGCAAAGAGAGCAUUUAGAGUGAUUCAGGAUACACAUAAUGUAAGGUCGGUGUCAUUUCAUCCUUCCGGGGACUAUCUUCUGGCAGGAACUGAUCAUUCAAUUCCCCACCUAUAUGACAUUAACACUUUCAAAUGCUACCUGCCACCAAAUUUCCAAGAUAUGGGUGUCAAUGGUGCUAUUAAUCAGGUUAGGUAUUCAUCUACCGGUGGAAUGUAUGUAACUGCAUCCAAAGAUGGUGCAAUUCGGUUAUGGGAUGGGGUAACAGCUAGCUGUGUGCGAUCUAUAGAUGGUGCACAUGGAGCGGCAGAGGCUACAAGUGCAAAUUUCACAAAGGAUCAAAGGUAUAUCCUCUCUUCAGCAAAAGACUCUUCGGUGAAGCUUUGGGAAGUUGGCACAGGAAGAUUGGUCAAACAAUAUCUUGGAGCUACACAUACACAGUUGCGCUGCCAGGCUGUUUUCAAUGAUACAGAAGAAUUUGUAUUAUCAAUUGAUGAAUCUCUAAAUGAGAUUGUUGCAUGGGAUUCUCUGACAACAGAAAUAGUGGCUAGAUGGCCCUCCAACCAUAUUGGUGCACCCCGUUGGCUUGAGUAUUCCCCAGUAGAAGCUGCAUUUGUGUCUUGUGGGAUUGACCGAUCCAUUCGGCACUGGACUUAGUGCCACUAUUGAGCCAGCAGCAUUAGUAAAGCCAGAGAUAUGCCAAUGUAAUUUAAUAAGCUUGCUGUAACCUUGGGCUAAGUAAAUGGAAAUGAUUUAUGCAUCCUCUCUGCCUCGAUUCUUUCCCUUGUUGGUGAACGAAGAAGAGGCAAUGAGCUACAAGGCAGAUUUCAAGUUGGUUCAAUGGUCAGGCAUGAUGGUUAAUCUCCUAGCUGACCUUUGCUGAUCAACCAAACUGCUUUUAAGGGAAGAUUGAAUAUUGCUCGAUGGACAUGUAUUCAGUUGUUUUUUUAUCUGUCCGGCAGGAUUUCUUUCCAAGUUUUUGUAAUUGAUUGAAACUAUUACACAAUGUGGACAUAAGCUUGAUGAUCCUUUUGAGAUUCUUUGUAGCAACCUUGUACCCUCUAAUAGGAUAUCCACAUCUCUUUGCCAUGGAUAGCUGCACUGUACCAAAAAGAAAAUUUUCUUCUCACAGUAGAUAUUUCUUCCAUUUCGAGUUAUGUUA